This is a long non-coding RNA of Myotis brandtii (Brandt's bat), 110 nucleotides long. RefSeq lists it as uncharacterized. The transcript is spliced from 3 exons. The record is from RefSeq and is a predicted model, not a curated record. NCBI's taxonomy places the organism in Eukaryota, Metazoa, Chordata, Mammalia, Chiroptera, Vespertilionidae.
AUUCCAUUUUAGAGCUCCACCCUCAUGAUUGAAUGACCCCUACAGGCCCCACCUUCUAGUACCAUCACCUUGGGGUUAGGAUUUCAACAUAUGAAUUUCAGGGGGACACA